GCAAAGGGAAAGCAAGUGGGGCCUCUCCAACUUUGGCCACCUUGUAAGUGACUGAUGUCUGGAAUUGCUCAUGUGCCUGCUGGAGAAAUGAGGAUCACUGGGAAUGAACUGGCAUGUUAUAUUCUGGGGAGUUACUCCCAGGUGGACCAGUCAGGGAUGCGUUUGUCCCGAAGGGACCGAUCAGCCGAACGGCAGAAUCUGUCGCCCGGAGGACCCGUCGUGAGGCCUGAGUUCCCCCAUACAUUUAGAAGUUGGCCUUCAGUAUUCCUCCCUCUGGCUAUCUCUGGGGCAUGUUCCAGUGCAGAGCUCUCCAUAAAAGAUCACCUAAAGCGUCAUUUCUCAUUCAUCUGUGGCGGUGGACAACGGCAUCCCAGCUGAGACCCGGUUAUCGGGUCCGGCAAGCCUGGAAAAUUGCAAGACCUUGGUAAUUCGGGAUUGAUCUUACCAUUUUACACUGGCUAUCCGUUUGCUGUUCACCUCACCCUCUGCCCCGCAGGACUUAUGUACCUAUCGGAAAUUAAUUAAUUUACA
This is a long non-coding RNA of Ornithorhynchus anatinus (platypus), 531 nucleotides long. RefSeq lists it as uncharacterized. Lineage: Eukaryota; Metazoa; Chordata; Mammalia; Monotremata; Ornithorhynchidae. The record is from RefSeq and is a predicted model, not a curated record. The transcript has 2 exons.